UUGACCGUGCAAGGUAGCGCAAUCACUUGUCUUUUAAAUGAAGACCUGUAUGAAUGGCACGACGAGGGCUUAACUGUCUCCUUUUUCUAGUCAAUGAAAUUGAUCUCCCCGUGCAGAAGCGGGGAUAGACGCAUAAGACGAGAAGACCCUGUGGAGCUUCAGACAAAAGAACAGACUAUGUCAAAACCCCCAGACAAGGAAAAGAACCAAUUAGACCCUGUCCUAAUGUCUUUGGUUGGGGCGACCGCGGGGAAAUGAAAAUCCCCCAUGUGGAAUAGAGCCACACCUUCUACAACCGAGAGUAACAACUCUAAGCAACAGAAAUUCUGACCAUUAUGAUCCGGCACCGCCGAUCAACGGAACGAGUUACCCCAGGGAUAACAGCGCAAUCCUCUUUUAGAGCCCAUAUCGACAAGAGGGUUUACGACCUCGAUGUUGGAUCAGGACAUCCUAAUGGUGCAGCCGCUAUUAAGGGUUCGUUUGUUCAACGAUUAAAGUCCUACGUGAUCU
Molecule: ribosomal RNA, 510 nt
Filed under: Hypoatherina temminckii (Samoan silverside)
Lineage: Eukaryota; Metazoa; Chordata; Actinopteri; Atheriniformes; Atherinidae
Description: partial 16S rRNA
Rfam family: Bacterial large subunit ribosomal RNA
Source: RNAcentral